This 427-nucleotide ribosomal RNA is filed under the name uncultured bacterium. Its description in RNAcentral is "bacterial SSU rRNA". It matches the Rfam family "Bacterial small subunit ribosomal RNA", at positions 958 to 1393 of the family's 1533-position model. The record is from RNAcentral.
AACGCGAAGAACCUUACCAAGGCUUGACAUAUACGAGAACGGGCCAGAAAUGGUCAACUCUUUGGACACUCGUAAACAGGUGGUGCAUGGUUGUCGUCAGCUCGUGUCGUGAGAUGUUGGGUUAAGUCCCGCAACGAGCGCAACCCUUGUCCCUAGUUGCUACGCAAGAGCACUCUAGGGAGACUGCCGGUGACAAACCGGAGGAAGGUGGGGAUGACGUCAAGUCCUCAUGGCCCUUAUGGGUAGGGCUUCACACGUCAUACAAUGGUCGGUACAGAGGGUUGCCAAGCCGCGAGGUGGAGCCAAUCCCAGAAAGCCGAUCGUAGUCCGGAUUGUUCUCUGCAACUCGAGAGCAUGAAGUCGGAAUCGCUAGUAAUCGCGGAUCAGCAUGCCGCGGUGAAUACGUUCCCGGGUCUUGUACACACGC